RNAcentral lists this ribosomal RNA (456 nucleotides) under Acinetobacter baumannii. RNAcentral's name for it is "bacterial SSU rRNA". It matches the Rfam family "Bacterial small subunit ribosomal RNA", at positions 1010 to 1458 of the family's 1533-position model. Lineage: Bacteria; Pseudomonadati; Pseudomonadota; Gammaproteobacteria; Moraxellales; Moraxellaceae. The record is from RNAcentral.
AUUGGUGCCUUCGGAUUCUACAUCCAAUUGCUGCAUGGCUGUCGUCAGCUCGUGUCGUGAGAUGUUGGUUAAGUCCCGCAACGAGCGCAACCCUUUUCCCUUACUAGACAGCAUUUCGGAUGGGAACUUUAAGGAUACUGCCAGUGACAAACUGGAGGAAGGCGGGGACGACGUCAAGUCAUCAUGGCCCUUACGGCCAGGGCUACACACGUGCUACAAUGGUCGGUACAAAGGGUUGCUACACAGCGAUGUGAUGCUAAUCUCAAAAAGCCGAUCGUAGUCCGGAUUGGAGUCUGCAACUCGACUCCAUGAAGUCGGAAUCGCUAGUAAUCCGUCUUCGUUCAUCGCAUGCCGCGGUGAAUACGUUCCAGGGCCUUGACACCUUAUGCAUGGUUCACACCAUGGGAGUUUGUUGCACCAGAAGUAGCUAGCCUAACUGCAAAGAGGGCUGUACCA